This is a long non-coding RNA of Carassius gibelio (silver crucian carp), 700 nucleotides long. RefSeq lists it as uncharacterized. The transcript is spliced from 2 exons. The record is from RefSeq and is a predicted model, not a curated record. Lineage: Eukaryota; Metazoa; Chordata; Actinopteri; Cypriniformes; Cyprinidae.
AUGUAUGCAUAAUAAUAUCAACAACAUUCACUUGUUCAUUGAUAUGCAAGUCAUAAGACUAGUGUGCAACACACACAUCAGUAGGCACACAGUUGGGGUUGCAGGACCCUCUGCCAUGACCUUCAAAAAUGGGCUGAGAGAGAAUUGUUCUCUCUGAGGGGGCAAGAGAUCACAUGUGCAUCCGUGUCAUGUGCUCCUACAGGCUGAAGAUCCCACUCCUCCUGGCCACUGACACGGCCAUGUGCAUGGGACCCUGAACACAAAGAGCUAACUAGGGUCACUUCAAACACAGGCUCACAGGGGACAGAGCAAGUUUAUGUGUGCGGACUCUGUAUUGGGCCAACCAUGUUCAGAAUGGGCAGAGAUAUUUUAUCUCUCCCAAAUGCAAACCGAUGGGCUUCCUGGGGAUAACCGUAUCCAAACCUCAGAGGGACUGGAACAGAUCAAACAACGGGGAUGUCCCUCCUGCAGCUGCUGUCUCUCCAAACAACACUGCUCCUAUAAGCAGAGCGCACUCACUCAGUAAAUAUCUCCUGCCUCUCUGUGCUCUCGUGACUCUAGAUUGCUCUGCUUCCACCACAUCAAAGGCAGUUUUGUCAUGGCAUAAUGGAGUGAUUGUGUGUUUGUGUGCCUGUGCAUGUUGUUUUUAGGGUGGGCUGCUUUCACUUCAAAACAAGAAUAAAUAAAAAGAAAGAUUAUA